Macaca mulatta (Rhesus monkey) is the source of this 2289-nucleotide non-coding RNA. Lineage: Eukaryota; Metazoa; Chordata; Mammalia; Primates; Cercopithecidae. The record is from RefSeq and is a predicted model, not a curated record.
GGGUGGGGUGAGGGGUAGGGAUGGGAUGAGAGAGGCUGCUUUCCUGGGCCUACAAUUGGGGUUCCCUUCUCCUUGCCAUCCCCAGAAACUCCAAGAGCUGACCUUCUGUCUUACUAACCCAGACGGCCCAGAAACAACAAAGUCUGACCAAAAACCGUUAAUGGUAGUCAGCUUCCUCCCUUUCACAGAGGUCUUACUACUGCCGGGGCGCAGGCGACACAUGGGGCCUGAGCUAGACCAGGUGGGAAGGUGAAAGGACCUAGUUGGGACAGAAGAGGAUACCUAGGAGCCGCCCACCGGCUAGAUGGACACAGGAAAGGCCUGAGUCAGGCUUCUCACAGUAAAUAAACUGCACGUGAAUAAUUCAGCAGUCGUGCUGGGGCCGGUUGCAUUAGCGCCGCCAACGCCGCGCGGCGCCCAAGUCCCCGCGGAGGGGAGAAGGCAACUAAGGCACUUGAAGAGGAGUGGGGUAGAAAUCCCCCGCCCAAGAGUAUCCUGGAUUCUACCCAGGUCGGGUUCAGAGAGCCUCCCGGGUCCCAAUCCCCUCGGACCCCAUGGGUCAGGGGGCCGCCUGCGGGGCACUGCUCCCUCAGCUAAGCCCCUCCGGUGUCCCAAGACCCCGGGCAAGGGAAGACAGGCGGCGAGACGCAGCCAGAGUAAGCGAUGAGGACGUCUGACCUGUGGAAAACCCAGCAUCUGCAGUGCCCUGUCGCACAGGGAACGUGGGCGGCGUGGCUCCAAGCAAAGUGAAGACGCCAGGCUCGAAUCUGUGCUCAGAGCCGGGAUCCCUCCCGGCUGCUUCGUCCUGGCCGGGAUUUGCCUUGCCCUGAAGUGAGGCUCCAGGGAAGCUGCAGGGCCCUCCGCCCUCUCUGAACUCCCACGUAUUUGGGCCUCUCCCCGCCUUUCUUGGGCCGGUGGAUGCAGUUCCUGCAGCACCAAACUCCCCUGUCUCCCCGCCGCCCCCUAGGUACAGUUCGUAACACCCGAAGCCUUAUUUCGUUUGAGCGAAACCCGGCCCCUUUGGCUCUUCCCACUUCUCACAAGUCCCUGGGUUCCCGACCCUGAGGGAAUGCAUUCAUUCCAUCUCACACCCACCAAUGCUCAAUCCCUCCAGUUCCUCCCCAGCCCCUUCAUUUCCAUUAAUUAGGUCGAGUCCCUUCCUUAGCCGCCCCCUCCUGUCACCACGCAGCCUCCCUACACCUACGCGGCUAGCCUCGGGUCAAGACCUCCGCCCUGGUGCAUGAUGCACCAGGCCUCAAAAGGGAUCUUCACGGGUAUUCCGCAUAGCCAGAUCCCAAUUCUCCAGGGAGGCCACCAGCCCUCCCCUAUCUUCUUCCUCCUCCUCCUUCUCCUUUCCUCUUCCCUCCGCUUCUACGUAUUUCUUUCAAUUCGUUUCUUUUCUUUUGGUGAGGUGCCACCCGCACAGCCCUGUCCCCUAGGGAGGCCUGGACUAACUUUGCGGUCCUCGUGGCCUUAGCCCGGACUGUGAGUGUCAAGCAGCUUCCGGGAGGCAGCUCGGGUGUCUUCGCAGAGAUAGGUGAGGUGCGCUGGCGAUUCCCUAGCCUCAGAUUGCUCUGCCACCGGCCAGCUGUGUGAUCUUGGCCGAUGGGGUGCCAGGCGUUAGAAAUCUUCCCCCCAAUCCUCACCAUGUCUCCAUUUUGCCAAAGAAGAAACAGGUUAAGGUCGCGAUGCGCUGGCCAGCAUCACAGGUAAACAAUUUUGGCAGUGCUCGGAGAAGGAUGGAAGUAAGACCCAAAGAGGAACUUUCCACAUGUUAUGGGAGAGCCCCUGGAGCCAGGAGGCGAGGGCAGCCUUCCCCAGGCCAAGGGAGCAGCCAUCGCUCUUGGAUCUGUUUUUCCUCAAGCGUCUGUCCUGUGGGGCCUAGUCCCCAGCCGCAGUCCUGGACCUAAUGGGAGAAGGGGCUGGGGGAAGAGGACGCCUGGGACAUCCCCAGCCCGGGACCCAGAUCGGGUCCUCCUAGCUGCAGGGCAGCAGAGUGGAAGCCAGGGCCUGGGACCCUCUGGUUGGGCAAGGAGGGACUGGAGUCCGGCUCCCGGCAACCCCGUCCCCAGUCCCAGCGGAAGGGUCGCCCAUGGCGGCCCAGACAGGCCACGGGUCCCUCUCCACAAGUCCCAUUACGUUGUAUUUAUGUUUCACUUUAUUGUUUUUUAUCCUCCUCCCUUAUUACUGUCUCACUCUGGGGGAGGCAAAGGAUAUAAUAUAUUCAUCUUUAUUAUACCAAAUCUGUGUGAAGCAUUUAAUAAAACGCUGUUUCCACACAGCCAGGGA